UGGUGAGUUUCACCUGUUCCUCGUUAGUUUCCAGUCAGUCCUCAGUUUGUGAGUUGGUCUGCGUUUCCUGCGUUUUCAUGUGUCUUUUCCGUCGUCCUGGAUGUCCCCCGUGUCUCCGUGUACUUUGGUUACCUUUCUGGACUCAUUUUUUGGUCUUUUGGAUCACCCUCAUUUGUUGAACAGUGGACCUAUCACUGCGCAGGUUUACUCAUCAACUCACCCGUGGAGCCCCUCGAUUUGAAGGGAUGCUACAUUAGUUCUGGUAGCUGAAAGCAUAAGAGGAGCUGUGGGGGACGCGCUGUUGUGACAGCCUGCUAUAUGGAGCAAUUUGAAAGGAUGCCUGGAAACCCUCUCACCGGUUCUCACGCGACACAGAGACGUCAGUGAAGUAACAUGAAGAGAUACCUGUCCGGUUAGAGUGCUCUCUGUAGCUUGUGUCUGUACUCAGCCAAAGAUCGCUUGUGAAGAAAGAAGCUCCACUCUGUAACACCAAGUAACUUCAUGAAAAUUGAGGCGUGUCAGGUUAGGUAGUCAGUUGUAUUAAAGACAGGCUUUUAUUUCUAAUUUGCUCAUGUUGUUCACAUUUAAACGUGAAGUUUCUCUGAUCGGUGAUGUCCUCCUCCUCCUAAGUUCUUGUCACUACAUUAUGCUGUUAAUACAAACUCCUGAAGGAGAGAGUAAAAUGAAGACCAGUGUGUGAGAUGAUCGGCCAUGUCAGGCUACAAAGGAAGCUCAGAGAGGCAGUGUAGGCUCCUUGCAGCUUAUGCGUUACAGUCGCCAUCCAGUGGUGGGCAACAGUCACUGUUGACUUUUUCUUUCGUGUAAUGUACUUUGUAGGUGUCCAUUAUCAGGAAUAAUUGGACAACCUGCAACCAAUCAGAAUUGAGGAUUCCUCCUGACCAUGGUAUGAGCAUCAUUGGUAUGUGGAUUAAAUGAAAGGAACCAGGAGUAUCCACUCUUGGUCUUUGCCCUCAUCUUGUGUUUGGGUCAGCCUUUAUUUGUCUAGAGCUUUUAUUAAAGACUUGGCUUUAACUGCAGGCUGUUAUUUGCAAAAUGUACUUACAUGAAAGUAUCAGACUGAACUUCGUGUUUUCCUCUUCAUAUCACAGCUGUACCACUUUAUUGCAGCUGGAGUUUCUUAUGCCACUCGGUGGUGGUGAGGCAGGUAGCGCCAGUCUCGCAUGAGACACCAAGGCAUCCGCUCUGUUGAAAUAAAUCUUUCAGUCACAUGAGCCCUUGACGUAUGUUCAGUGCUCUUGAACUCUGCUGUACCUGUUGCACCUACUGCUCCGGUCUACCUUCUUUGGCUUUCAUUAGAGAUUUCAUUAAACAGCUGUCAUCACACUGUGAGAUUCUUGAUGCUUCUGCCCUUUGAUAUCCACCACGAAGGAAAUUCAAAGGACGCCUGGAAACACUCUCAUCCCUCCUUACAUGACACAGCAACACCGUCAGGCCCCGCCACAGCUUAAAAGCCAGUGUUGCAUUCAGGCUCCCUGAAGUCUGAGAAGACUUAAUGUGCUCAUUCCUUGUGUUGUUUGAUCAGAAAUCAGAGGCCAGCUCUGUUCAAGUUGCCGCUUGUCCUUGGACUUUUUAAAUGAUGGAGAGAGGAAAGAAAAAAAAGGGAUUCGAAUAGAAUGAGAAGUUCAGCUAUGUUCAAUCUGCCAUCAUUACUACAGUCCCCGCGUGAAUAGAUGGAGUCCAGUCCAUGUGUUUGUGUGUGUACCUGUUCGUGUGCAGUGUCGGCACACGUCACUGUACACUCAAAAGGCUCAUUAAUUAUAGUUGGAGUCAUUAUGGAGAUAAGUGUGAGUCUGACUAUUGGUGCUGAAGAUAAGAAGAAGAAUUACCUGUUUUGGUGCUUCUGCUUUCUAAUCAGCUGCCCAUUAGAGAUAUCAGGGGACUUUUAUUAUCACUUCUGUGUUCUUCCAUGUCUCUUUUUCUUUUAUUUCUCUGUUCGGCAUUUCUCCAUCGUUCGAUGUGUCCUCGCCACCAAGUCUG
This is a long non-coding RNA of Scatophagus argus, 1998 nucleotides long. RefSeq lists it as uncharacterized. The transcript has 3 exons. The record is from RefSeq and is a predicted model, not a curated record. NCBI's taxonomy places the organism in Eukaryota, Metazoa, Chordata, Actinopteri, Scatophagidae.